Molecule: long non-coding RNA, 1397 nt
Organism: Lagopus muta (rock ptarmigan)
Lineage: Eukaryota; Metazoa; Chordata; Aves; Galliformes; Phasianidae
Exons: 2
Source: RefSeq, a predicted model, not a curated record
AAGAAAUCUUCCUUUGGAUUGAUGGAUUUGGAUUGCAGUAUUGCAUGUCAAGAUCUGGCUUAGGCUGAAGCUUCCAGGAAUCUCUGGAAAAGGUUGUUGAGUAUCAACUGACUUUUAGUUUCUAGCAAUUAUGAUGGCAGAGAAGACAAGAACUGUUAUUUCUUCUGACUGUCAAUACAGGAAUGAGAGAAAAGAACUCUCAGAAGAAAAUAAUCAGAUGAAAACAUGGAUUUUUCCCCCUCAUCUGUGGCAUUCUAUAAUGAUUCUAGCACACUGCUGUGCUCUGACUGUGAGGCUGCUUGACAGGCAUUAAGGAAUCUGAGUGGUUUCAGCACAGAGAUGCAAAUGGUUGUAAAGGACUUUUCCCCGAGAACUUCACAUGCCACCUGGAACAGUUCUUCUCACAGGACACGAAUGUGGUUUGAAGCUCAGUCAGUGGGUCCUUGAAACACAGGAGCCCCCUUUUUUUGUAGUUCAGGCUGUUAAUAGUUUACAGAUUGGUUGCUUGUUGAAGCAUAUCAAAAUGAGCACGAGUGCAAGCAGUUAAGCUAGCCAUUUCUGAAGCAGUGCGUGAAAACAAAUCAAAUACAAACAGAAAUGUCCUCAUUUGUUCACAUGCACGUGGCAACAGGUUUGUUUGUGCUUUGCCAGAGCUGUGGUGAUCCUGUGUUUGGUCCUUUCCCAUGAAAUCCAAAAUUAGCCUCCUUGAUACCAAAACCUGAACUUGUCUGCACUCAGUGCAUCGUAUUGAGUUGCACUGCAGAAAACUUAAUUAGUAAUCCUGUAGUAAUGAGGUCAAACUAUUACAAGUUCCACGUGUUUAAAAAAUAUAAUUAACUGCUGCAAUGUUUUCCAGUGUUACUUGGACGUGUGUCUGCAGGUGCAUGUGGGUAUGUGUGCGUCUCAGCAGUGUCAUGCCGUGCUGUGGCUGUGCAGUGCCAUCAGGGCAUGCAUUGCUCUCCCACUGCCUGGCAAUACAGACAACAGUUUUGUUCCAAAGCAGAACCAGCUGCUCCAUUGCCAAAGCACUGCACAGCGUCUGUGUGAGUGAGGUGAGGUUUUCAUUCUGAGAUGAUGAAUGGCAUCACUGUCAAAGCUGCUGAACCUUUGAGAAGGCAUGGCUCGGUUUCCUCUCCCAGCUGCAGUACCUACAGUGAGGUAAUCUGGAAGGGGAACCGUUAUGAUGCUCAUCUAUACUUUUUUAUUUAGUUGGCUGAAUAAAAAAAACACGACAAAGUUAAUCUCUGAGAAAUAAACAUCUUUUCACAAUAAUAUUUAUGCAGCGCACCUUCACAGAUCCUUUUAAAUUAAGGUACAUAAUGUAUGCUGUAUCAAGAAGUCACCUGUAACUUCUGUUUUCCAGUGCUGUGUCAUUAAAAAUAAACCUGUGAUCCACA